This 258-nucleotide ribosomal RNA is filed under the name Klebsiella pneumoniae. Its description in RNAcentral is "partial 23S ribosomal RNA". It matches the Rfam family "Bacterial large subunit ribosomal RNA", at positions 1396 to 1656 of the family's 2925-position model. Lineage: Bacteria; Pseudomonadati; Pseudomonadota; Gammaproteobacteria; Enterobacterales; Enterobacteriaceae. RNAcentral also lists the same sequence under 1 other name. The record is from RNAcentral.
GCGAGGCCGAAAGGCGUAGUCGAUGGGAAACAGGUUAAUAUUCCUGUACUUGGUGUUACUGCGAAGGGGGGACGGAGAAGGCUAUGUUAGCCGGGCGACGGUUGUCCCGGUUUAAGCAUGUAGGCUGGUUGUCCAGGCAAAUCCGGAUAAUCAAGGCUGAGGUGUGAUGACGAGGCACUACGGUGCUGAAGUAACAAAUGCCCUGCUUCCAGGAAAAGCCUCUAAGCAUCAGGUAACAUCAAAUCGUACCCCAAACCG